GGAGCUUGCUCCUGGAUUCAGCGGCGGACGGGUGAGUAAUGCCUAGGAAUCUGCCUGGUAGUGGGGGACAACGUUUCGAAAGGAACGCUAAUACCGCAUACGUCCUACGGGAGAAAGCAGGGGACCUUCGGGCCUUGCGCUAUCAGAUGAGCCUAGGUCGGAUUAGCUAGUUGGUGAGGUAAUGGCUCACCAAGGCGACGAUCCGUAACUGGUCUGAGAGGAUGAUCAGUCACACUGGAACUGAGACACGGUCCAGACUCCUACGGGAGGCAGCAGUGGGGAAUAUUGGACAAUGGGCGAAAGCCUGAUCCAGCCAUGCCGCGUGUGUGAAGAAGGUCUUCGGAUUGUAAAGCACUUUAAGUUGGGAGGAAGGGUUGUAGAUUAAUACUCUGCAAUUUUGACGUUACCGACAGAAUAAGCACCGGCUAACUCUGUGCCAGCAGCCGCGGUAAUACAGAGGGUGCAAGCGUUAAUCGGAAUUACUGGGCGUAAAGCGCGCGUAGGUGGUUCGUUAAGUUGGAUGUGAAAUCCCCGGGCUCAACCUGGGAACUGCAUCCAAAACUGGCGAGCUAGAGUAUGGUAGAGGGUGGUGGAAUUUCCUGUGUAGCGGUGAAAUGCGUAGAUAUAGGAAGGAACACCAGUGGCGAAGGCGACCACCUGGACUGAUACUGACACUGAGGUGCGAAAGCGUGGGGAGCAAACAGGAUUAGAUACCCUGGUAGUCCACGCCGUAAACGAUGUCAACUAGCCGUUGGGAGCCUUGAGCUCUUAGUGGCGCAGCUAACGCAUUAAGUUGACCGCCUGGGGAGUACGGCCGCAAGGUUAAAACUCCAAAUGAAUUGACG
This 845-nucleotide ribosomal RNA is filed under the name Pseudomonas koreensis. RNAcentral describes it as "bacterial SSU rRNA". It matches the Rfam family "Bacterial small subunit ribosomal RNA", at positions 75 to 915 of the family's 1533-position model. Lineage: Bacteria; Pseudomonadati; Pseudomonadota; Gammaproteobacteria; Pseudomonadales; Pseudomonadaceae. The record is from RNAcentral.